This 253-nucleotide ribosomal RNA is filed under the name uncultured bacterium. RNAcentral describes it as "partial 16S ribosomal RNA". It matches the Rfam family "Bacterial small subunit ribosomal RNA", at positions 524 to 776 of the family's 1533-position model. The record is from RNAcentral.
UACGGGGGGGGCAAGCGUUGUUCGGAAUUACUGGGCGUAAAGGGCGCGUAGGCGGUUUGCUAAGUUGGAUGUGAAAACUCUGGGCUUAACCCAGAGCCUGCAUCCAAAACUGGCAAACUUGAGUACUGGAGGGGAAAGCGGAAUUCCUGGUGUAGCGGUGAAAUGCGUAGAUAUCUGGAGGAACACCGGUGGCGAAGGCGGCAUCCUGGACCGACACUGACACUGAGGAGCGAAAGCCAGGGGAGCAAACAGG